Molecule: ribosomal RNA, 497 nt
Filed under: uncultured bacterium
Lineage: Bacteria
Description: partial 16S ribosomal RNA
Rfam family: Bacterial small subunit ribosomal RNA
Source: RNAcentral
GAUGAACGCUGGCGGCGUGCCUAAUACAUGCAAGUCGAGCGAACGGACGAGAAGCUUGCUUCUCUGAUGUUAGCGGCGGACGGGUGAGUAACACGUGGAUAACCUACCUAUAAGACUGGGAUAACUUCGGGAAACCGGAGCUAAUACCGGAUGAUAUUUUGAACCGCAUGGUUCAAAAGUGAAAGACGGUCUUGCUGUCACUUCUAGAUGGAUCCGCGCUGCAUUAGCUAGUUGGUAAGGUAACGGCUUACCAAGGCAACGAUGCAUAGCCGACCUGAGAGGGUAAUAGGCCACACUGGAACUGAGACACGGUCCAGACUCCUACGGGAGGCAGCAGUAGGGAAUCUUCCGCAAUGGGCGAAAGCCUGACGGAGCAACGCCGCGUGAGUGAUGAAGGUCUUCGGAUCGUAAAACUCUGUUAUUAGGGAAGAACAUAUGUGUAAGUAACUGUGCACAUCUUGACGGUACCUAAUCAGAAAGCCACGGCUAACUACGUG